Molecule: non-coding RNA, 11273 nt
Organism: Equus caballus (horse)
Lineage: Eukaryota; Metazoa; Chordata; Mammalia; Perissodactyla; Equidae
Source: RefSeq, a predicted model, not a curated record
AAUAUAAGAAUAAAAAGGCUGAACAGAUAAUAAUAUGAUGUGGGAAAAAUAGGUGUUUCAUUUUUUUUAUUCCUUUUUUAUAAUCUCAAAAAGACUGCUAAUUUGGUUAUAUGAAUUAAUGGCUCUUAAAGUUGUAUUUGGUGUUUUUAUAGUGGAGAAUUCAGAUAUAUGCUAGAGAUAGGGGAGAAAUUUCCCUAAUGUUUUCAUAUUGCCUUUUGCAUGGCUGUCAAGUUUGGCCUCAGUUAAAUCUGCUAUAUAAUAUGUGUGAUAGAGAAUCUGAAUGAUAUUCAAGACUCAUAGAUUGAAAUUCUAAUUUCCAGAUGCCAUAAUUUAGAGCUAAUGUCUCCCAUUAAGGUUUUUGUUUUAUCAAAAUAAUUCUACUUGGGAAAAGUGAAGGAACAAAAAAGCUCCCAUCAUACUGUCCCUUCCUUUCUUCCUUGAAACUUUGUUGUAAUACUUAAAUCCCAGCUGGUAACUGCCCUUCCAGUGGACUAAAUUCCGCCCUCAAGUACUCAGACAGGUCUCCCAUUGGGCCCAAUUCUGCUCUCCUCCUUCAGGCAAAAACUCCCUUUGAAUUUAAAGUCUCACUCAGGUACUAUACUAAUAGGCACCAUAGACACACAGAGAAAGGCAGUAAAGGGGAGUUUGUUGUGUAAGCAUUGCUGACUCAGGAUUCUGAGGUAUUGUACCAAAUAGUCUGUAAAGAAUUUUGGCAAUUAUAAAUUCUCCAUCAGAUAUUUACUAACUCAGAGAAUUUCUCAUGGAUCCUUUCUAUGCUGCUGAAUGUAACUUCUAUGAGUCAAGGUAACUGUCAAAUAUCCAAAGAUACUCUAGUUAUCAGAUUUUAAGAAGCCAGGGGUUCUCAACCUAGAAAGAAUACCAUCUGUCUGACAGUUUCAUGAUUAUUUACUCUAAAACAAUCAGAAUAAACAAGUGAAGGCAGAUUUCAAAAGUACUAAAUUUAUUUUUUUUAAAAAACCCAAGUUUUUCAAUUAAUGUUAGCAGAGAGUGAUAUUUUAAACCACCCUCAUUUCACUGAGGUGUUUGAUGAGUUAUGCAGCCAGGGCUGGCCUUAGGCAAAUUGGGCUUUAGGUCAUUUUUGUCUUCAGUUUCUUUCCUUUCCAGUGUUCUGCUCAGAAGCCUCCUUUUUCCUACAGUGUCUCGGAUUUCCGAAGGCCCCAGCCUAAUGGCUCACAAAUGCCUCCCACUCUCUAUCCUUUCCAUGUCUAAGAUUUUCUCUCUCCUACCUUUCUAUAUGACAUCUGCAUUGAGAGAAUGUCCUUCCAUUGAUAACCCAACAGAAUAAAAUACAGAUCGCAAAUGAAAAGGUGUUCUGGUGGAAGCAUCUUUUUAGGUAUCAUUCCCAGGGCCUAAAAUCAAGGCCUCAAAGAAGCUCUAAAGAGUUAUAGUUACGUGACAGUGAUAAUACGAUUAUGUUCCUAGUUCCUCAGGCACACUGAUGUCUUCCUUAUCUCAUACUGAGCCUUUUUGGAAUUUUCUCUGCUUGAAACACGGGGCUAUCCCCAUUUUACUCUACCAUUGUCCUCUGUACCUUUACCUUAUAGCCUAUUUGGCUGUAGAUUAUUGAAACCUAGCCUAAACUAGCUUAUGAAAGAGGUUUUGUUGGCUCACAAAAAUUGGAAGUGCAGGAAUGUUUUGGGCUUUAAGCACACGUAGAUCCAAGGAUGAGACUCUGUCAUUAGAAUACUUUCUCAUCGUCUUCCUAUCUCAGCUCUACAUUUCUCUCUUUGGGCUUCAUUCUUAGCCAGUCUCUUCCCAAAUUGUGAUAAAAAGGGCUCAAAGCAGUUCUGUUCUCAUAUUAUCUUCAUGGUUUUGUUCUUACUGCAAAGAGCAUGCCUCUUGCCAGAUAGCCCCCAUCACUGUGAAUAUGGAAAUAAGAUCCUCUCAUUGACUAGGGAUGAAUCCUGUGGUUACUCCCAUCACAGGUAGACAGAGGGAUCAGUUUACAAGAAUUCCUUGGAACAGAUUCACUUUAAAAAUGAACAAUUCUGUUAAUAGGAGAAGGGUGAAAGAAAAAACAUGUUGAAGAGGCAAAAUAUGACCAUUGCUGUCCACGAUAGAGCUUAUCUAAAGUUAUAAUUAUAUGUGGGUUUUGCUGUCUUCCUCACUACAGCUCUGUGAAUAACAGGGAUUUUUCGCUUCUGUAUACUAGUGCCUAUUAUAGUUUAUGAUUUGUAUUAGAGUCAGCAAAUAUUUGUAAUUGUCUCAUUUAAUCUUGACAACUUAAAUAGAUAUUUUCUCCAUUGUUAAAGAGAAAAUUGAGGCUCAGAGAGAUUAUGUAACCCAUCUAAAGUCAUACAGAUUAUGUAUUGUGACCCGAAAUAACAUACAGAUAUUUUAAAAAGUUACUAACGUCACUUUUUAAAGGUUGUAGGUAGUACAGAAACCUAUAUGGAUCUAGGAAUGUUCAUGUGUUUAGUGACUUUCAAGCUCUUUCAAUAUACUUAUUAUGAAGUGCUUAUGUUUCUUCAAGGCCCACUUAAAGUAUUUACACAGUUUAAAAUAUCAUUUUCUUUUGAAGUUAGUCAUAUUUUACAAUAAUAAUGUUAAUGUUUCAGAAAAGCUUUAGUAAAGGAAAAGAACUAAGGUAAUACUAGUCAGUUGCCUAUUUUGGGAACAAGUAACAUUAAACUAAUGUGUGCCUCCCCCUUUGAAAUCCUGGUGUCAAUAAAAUUUGAAGUGAUUAUGAGGGACAACCAAGGUGACCAGCAUGGACCUGCUGUUAGAAAUUAUAAAUUAUUUGAAUCUAUCAAAGCUGAAUAAAAAUGUUGUCCUUAAUACUAUGUAAUGGGCAGAAAGAUAAGGAAUCCUCAAACUCGUACAUGUAAUAGCUAAGCAAGCCGUUAAGCCAAAUGGAAACAUAUGUAGAAAGAAAUAAGGAGCCUACUAUCCAAGAAAAUUGCCUUUACAUACACUCCUGGGUAUUUUUGAGCCUGAGUAUUCAGGAGUUUAAAUUUAUGUAGUAUCUACUUGAAAAGCUGCGUAUUGACAGUAUGGGUGUGUAUUGAUGCAAACUCUUAGAUUAUAAAUCCAUUUCUGAUGCUCAAUUGUUUUGUAAUUUUUUAUGCUCUUAAAAUCACAUAAACCAUUCAGUUUAAGUACUUAACUGAUUUUUCUUUUAUGGUUCCUUACAACAAGCUGCGUGUCUGUUAAUAAUUAUUCACUUUACGUUCCACAUAUUUGUCAAAAUCCUGUCCAUGAUUGUUUAGAUUUUUAAUCCAGGUUGACUCCAUAACUAGUAUUUGAAGCCAUACAUAUUUUUAUUCCUACACAAAUAACUGUGGCUUUAAUGCCUCACCCACUACGUAGUCAGUCUUCUCAUGGAUUUUGUCAUCAUGGCAAAAGAGCUGUGUGAAAUUAUUAGCAAUUUUGCCCAGUCUCUUUUGGAAUGUUUGUUGUCCUUAGAGCCUCAGCAGGCGAAACCUCACAGUCUCCUUCAGCAACCUGUGCUUUCCUGAAAGAUUGGCUUUGACAAGCCUGCAGGGGUGAGAAAUAAUUUUGUGUGUGAGGGUUUGCACUUCAUGGGUGUCUCCUGAGUUUAUUACCAAGAGGAAAUGGAAAGAAAGCCAUUCUCACCCUUACCUUAAACCACACGAUUAUGUGACCAUAGUGCUGAAUGAUUCACUCAGCUUUGGGGAAAGUCUAUACUGAGCCCUCACUUAGAUAGAAACUGGUACCUGGCACUAAUCUGAUUGAGCAUAUUGAUAUAAAUAUCGGUAACCCCAAUAACUGGCUACCUUGUCUUUCCAGAACUUCUAAUUAUCUCUUGCAUCUUAUUUCUCUGUUUUGGGCUAUCAACUUACAUUCAAGUUAUGAGAAGGACUUGUUUGUCUCUGAUGCUAGUAUCUGCUUGCCAUCUGAUGGGCUGCGUCUCAGGAUGCUGUGUCCUGUGUCUUACUCCUCUUCAGAAAAGUCGUCAGAAAACACUGAGCUUAUUGGAAUUCUGUACAGUUGUUUAGUAUUCAAGAAGAGCUCUUUCCAGAGUAAUCUGCAAGCCACCCUGAUAUUUGUAAACACUGUCAUGCAGUCUUUCAAAAAUAAAGUGGUCAGGUUACCAAAGGGAAGAUAAAAUAACUAAAGGGGGAAAAUACAUAUUAAACAUUUGUUUAGGUACUAGUAAAUUUUUUUUCCCAAAGACAGCAGGCAAGUGAUGUUUACAUAUGCCAUGCUAUGGAAUAUACAGGUUGAAAGAUCCUCCAAUACUCUGUCAAAUGCUUUGAAAAAGUGAGCUGCCUAAGCUGAAGGCAGACAGAAUAUUUGAAGUAGACCACGAACUGAAAUGCCCCAGAAAUCUUUUAUCAAUUGGGCCUAUGUUCACUCUUGUAAUAAAGAAGCUUUUGGAGUUUAUAUGCCACAGUCUAAUAGGUGACUGUUUAAUGGGAUUUACAUUCACUCAAACAAAAUUAGGCUGGUAAAAGACAAUGCAACAUGCUGUAAUGUAAAUGGGACUGACGGCAGAAUUAAAUGUUUGUGGAAACAGGGCAGCAGACCUAUCAAGAGCUAAUUAGACAGAGAGUUCAGAGGCAGGCUUGGAAGUAAACAGUAUCAACAAAGAAAGAAGGAGAGCAAGAAUAGAGAGAAAAAAAGACCUUUUGUGCAGGGAAGAAAAGGAACUAUACAAAAGUUAUUUAAUUAGAAACUCAGAUGGAGUCUCUCCCAUGAGAAAAACUUAUAUUGUUAUCUGAGACUGUUCACGAUAUUAAGUUGAAUAAUAACUUUGAUAAAUUAUUGUGUGUCUAAGUAGUUCUUUGUUGUAAUUGGAUUUUGAAUAUUUGGCAUUAAUAGCAUUCUCUUAAAAUAGUAACUUUUCUAACUAUGUUCUCUCUAUGUAGAAAAAUUUUUUUGGAAGUUUAUCUUUGAAGUCCUAACACAAAGAAUAACAUUGAGACAAAGUAACAAGUUUGGGGCUUUAGUAAGGAAGGAUAAAGGAUAAAAAUGCCUAUAAACAUUACAGAUUCAAGGAAUGUCUGCGACUCAUGAUGGUUACAGCAUCUCCUGGAGCCUGUGUCCUCCAGUAAUGAAUGAGGGUGUUCACAUCACAUCACAGGAUGUUGUGAUGAUAAAGAGAAAUAUUGGAAAAAUAAAAUGAUUUCAAGAGUUCAAAGAGCCUGAUCUUUAUUAACAACUGUCACUGAUAUUUGGGAGAUGGGUCCUAGUCCCUGCUCUGUCACUGUGUCACUUUGUAACCAAGUUUACAAUCACUUUAGCUUUCCCUAACCCUAUAAAAUGAGGGAUUGGAAAAAAAUUACCUCUGAGGUCCAGCCAGGCUAAUCUUUAUAUGGACAACAUUGCAUUAUGCAGCAUAGUCCAAAUGGGAGAAUAGUCUACCUUAGGGUUAUUUAGUGACUAUCAGAGAACAUUAUGAUAACUGAGAGUUUGGCUAUUUUCUUACAUGUAACUUCUAAAUAAUCAAAUUAUUCAUUGGAGUGCUGGGUAUGACAUCAAAUUAUUUAAAAUAUAUUUUUACACCAUGGCACAAUUGCACACACACACACACACACACACACACACACACACAUAUAUAUAUAUAUAUAUAUGAUUUUUUGGUUUUUUAGACCUCUAGUUUUGUAAAUUCAUCAUGUGCUUAAUGGCAUAGGCUUGGUAGUCUGGGUUAGACAAUCGAUUAUAAUGUAGCACUUUACAACACAUUAAAGCAGGGUUGCACAAAAUACCCUUGUUACUAUUUUGAAAGGUGAAUAGGCCUAAAAUUCUACUAUGUCACACAUAUAGGCAUAGAAUUUUAUAUGAACAGAAAGAUGCUGUUUGGUAAGUGAUGAAAAAAUGAUACACUAAUUUAAGCUCCGUGGUAUUUAAUGAAUCACAUAAUGUGCCACAGAGACUUCAGGGCUUCAAAUGCAGAAAUCUUCUGGAAACAAUGCACUGCCUUGUGAGGAGAGAACAAGAUGGCAAAGAGCUGAAAGAAACUGGAGUGACCCAGAUGGCUGGAACACGGGGACUUUGAGCCAGGGAUAUAAAUGCAAUGGGUAAGCCUGGCUAAUACAAAUAAAAAGUUUGAAAAAUGCAUGAUUACAGAGGAAUCAGUGGUGAGAUGGAUGAUUUCCAUUUCCAAAAUGUAUCUAUUUGACUGGGUGUGACAUUAGCUUAGAAGGAGGUCUUUUAGUCUGAUAAAAUUUUUCAUCUUUAGAGAAAAAUUUUCACCCAUCGCAUGCCUUUUUAAACUAUACACAAAUUCCUACAUCUCACUAUUACAUUUUACAAAUAAAGUAAUUCUCAUACUGCUUUAAAUAUUAUGGAAAGAGGGAGGCAAAUUCAUCAGGAUCUUUAAAAGAAAAUCAAUUAAAUUAUAUUAAUGAAACUAGUAAACUAAUUAGAGUGGGCAGAAGAGAAAAUUGAGAUCUAUGACCCUUUCAAAUGACUUUCAAAAGUGUAACUACGCUUUUUAGAACAAGAAAAAUGAGGGGCCAUUGAUACUACUUAGGGGGAAUGGGAAGAGCAGUUUCAGUAAUUCAUUCCUAGAGAUUGUGAUUUGUUUUUCCCCCAUUUUCCUUCCUCAAUUUCAUUGAGCGGCAAAAAAUGCAGAGUAAGGAGAGUACAGAAUCAAGUGUGUUAAGCCGAUUGAUCCAGUUCUGAUCCUUUUGAUCAUGAGAAAGUCGCUUACCUUCUCUUGUCCUCAGUUUCAGAUACCUUCAAUAAAAGCUUUGAGCGAGAUUUCCAGGGCCCCUCCUAGUUCUCACGGUGUGUUUCCCAGUCUUCAGUCCAUCUUUAAUUCCAUUCAGUAUGCUUUCACUGCAUGUUCUACAUGUUUUUCCACUGUGAUUUCUUCUCUAUAACAUCUAAUUCCAUUAUAGUGGAAUCAACUUUGGGGUGAAUAAAUUUGUCUGACUGCACCAUUGCAGAUGGAAAAUGUUGCCCACUUCUGAAAAAAAUGUGUAGGAGGCAUUUAAGACAUCUUUGGGAACAGCUGCUUUUAAAGUUUAAAAAUUGAUUGGUCAAACUUUGGCCUAAUUUAUUAUUAAAAAUUUAAGAUAUUGAAUACUGAUUUUUUUCACACUUGUCAUUGGGGAAAACUUUUAUGAUUCACUUCAAUCUUUAUUAACCUUCCAACAUGUGUUAAAGAUUUUUGUUUUCUUUCUCUCACACAUUUGUAGUGAAUUAACCGUUCCAAGGGAAUACCAGGUGCCCUGAUGCAAGCUACCUGGUUUUGACAGAAUUGGUUUUCAGGUCUUAUCUUAACGGUAUGUUGCUUGCUAUAGGAACAAAUUAAUGAUUAUGUCUUACGAGCAAAAAUUGCCUAUAUAUCUAACAACUACUACUUUUAUGAGAGCAAACUGGAUGGCUAGUAUUCAAACAGGUAAUGAGGUACCUCCUUUCCUUGUUUGUUCAGUCUGUGUUGUCAUCACAUUGUGAUUUAGGAUCUUAUUUUAUUUUCAAUUUAUUUUCCAUCUUCUGAGACAGAUUUUUGAAUUCUUUUUGAGGAAAAUUUCUUUGUAGUGUAAUUCAAUUACAGAGACCAAAAUUAUUCUAAAUGUUGUUCGAUCUUUCUUAUAAGUGAAUGAGCUUUGUUAGAAGAAAUAAUUCUUUUCUAAAACUUUAGAUUAUAAUCAUAUUUCUCUUUUACAAUUAAACAUUUUCAGCGUAUUUAUGCAAGGACUUUUUGUAUUCUUUCCUAGAUUUAAGUAUUGUCCUUAAGUUAAGUACUCUUUCUAGAAACUAAUGACCUGUACUUUCAUGAGAUUUCAGUUUAAUUUUAAAAGGAAAAGUUGCAUUUCAACACAAUAAAAAUGUUGAAGUUUCACCAACUUUUGAAAGAAAAGUAAACCUCUUACAUUGGCAUAUUUUUUGAAGGAAGAAGAUCCCACAGGUCCUUUGGUUAAUUGGAAAAGCAAAAGUUAUGAAAUUAUUCUGAAGACAAAGAGAAAAGAUAGUAGGAUGAGGAGGAACAGAAAUAAGAUAUGAUGGCCGUUGAAUUAGCCUUUAAGUCAUUAUGGACACUUAUUGCUGUGAUGAUGAUAAUUAUGGGGUAAAUGUGCAGCUGAUUUUCUUUAAUGAAAUAGGAUCAUUAAGUUACAGAAUUGUGGAAUAUAAACCAUAUCUCCCCUUUCACCCUCUCCUAACAUUCCAUUGCAAAUAGAAACCGGCAACGUUCUAUUAGUAUUUGCAUGAAGCUUUAAUAUUUUCCUUAUGGAAUCUUAAUAAUUCAAAUAAGGAAAUUUAAAUGGAGAUCUGACACACUUAGGUAAGUUCAGCAGCAAACAUAAAUCUGCUAUUUUAUGGAUUCCUAAAUUAUUAUCUGCAAAAGUUCUAGAAAGCAAGAGAAAUUCAAUUCAAAUGGAGACGUUCAGUGUAGAGAAAUUCUAUUAAUUCUCCCACUCUCUUCUACUUUCACAACUCAUUGUUAUUUAUACCAGAUUUAUUUAAUAAUCAAGUUAGGUUGCAUUAAAAUGUACACAAAUUCACAUUAAAUGAGCAGUGUUUAAUUAUUCUGAUAUACUUAAUUUCAAAAUCCUUUUCCCUCAAAGGUGUGAAUUUUAUAAUCAGCAGUGUACAAGCAACGGAAUCUAUGACCCUGAAGUAUAGUUGUGUCCUGUACCUCUGAUAUAGAUCCAGGAUAGAGCUCCAGAACUCCAACAAACAUUGUGUGAUUAAAGAGUGUGAAUGUUAACUGCGUUUUUAAAAUGACCAAUUAUGCUAGAAAGUAAGGCAAGUCAAAUUCUUUUCAAAUAUUUAUAUGUUCAUUUUAGUAGUUCAGACUUUUUUUUAAAGUAAAGAUUGCUUUCCUACUCUCAUUCUCAAAUAAUAGCUGCCAGACGUAUGUAACUUUUAGUACUGUAGCUUUAAGGUCUAGUGAAAGACUAAAAAGAUUAUUUUGUGUGACCUGCUGACUUCAGCUAGUCUGUGCUUUUGCACAGAAGAGUAUCAAAUAUGAAAUGAUAGAGAAGCAGAACUUCAAUGUACAAAGCCGUUUGGGUUCUGAUGUGGUCUAAAAUCAAUCAGGGCUACUUGACCCAAUGUGGUUUUUCUAUCGGAAACUCCAAAGUGGUGCCGCUUUUCCUCCUCGCUGAAAAGACCAUAAGGCUUUCAUUGUAUACAGAUAGAGUUUAUCCAUCCAUCUCCGUUUUAGCAGAAGUAUAAAUUCAAUUAUGUUUGAUAAAGUUAAAAAAGAAAUCUUCAAAUUGUACAUUACAUAAAAAUAAAAUAAAGGACUCUUGUGCUGACUAGCUGGCCCGUGAACAGAAAUAAAAUGUCACUUACAUUAUGGCAAUUUCUACAGAUUGCAGCUACCAAUAUUUUAUUUGGUACAUUUUAUAUGGAAGUAAGGUAAACAAAAUUCCAGCAAAAAACAAACCACUUUGUUUUCCUCCAUAUUUCUUGUUGAAAUAUUUGAAGUACAAAAUUGGUUAUGGCCUAAAAAGUCUUGUCGUAUUUAAUAACACUAGUGGCAACUGUGGAAGAGGUCUGACAUUUUUAAAAAUAAACGAUCAAGAGCAGUUCAUUGUGCUACUAAUUUUAUUACAAUGAAGUCCUUAGUGAAGAAUCACCAUUAUCGGAUUUUUUAAUUUGUUACUAUUAAUUAUACAAUGAUUUAAAGUAAAAGUGUGUACCUCCCAAAAUCUAUUUGAAAGCAUGAUAGUCAUUGCUCUUCUGUUAAUUAAUUUCCACAAUUCAUUUAAUAAAUGCCCCUUAUUUCAUCAUUUGAAAGAUAUUUAUUAGGCACCUACCAUGUCCUGUUUUAGGUAUUGAGUCUACGGCUGUCAUAUUACAGUGAACGGGAAAGACAGGGACCUCAGCAUCCAGGGAGGGAAGGUCAGUGAUAAACGUGUCGGCAGUACACAAGAUAGUUCCAUAUAGGGUAAGUCUUUUUGAUGGGGUGACCAGGGAAGACCUCUGUGGAGGUGAUUUGUGAACUGAGACCUGAAGAACAGGAAGCCAGACAUGGAAAGAUCUGGUGAUUUUUUGGGGACCAAAAUAUUCCAGGCUCUACACUCAGCCCUAGGAAUACAAUGAUGAAAAUGAGGCAGUCCUUAAAGAACUCACAGUGAAUAUGUUUUGCUUAUUUUUUAGGGGGGCAAUAUCAUUUGGAAUUCAUUGUGGUCACAAAGUCUCAUUAGUUAACACAUUAAAAAUAUUGAAUGAAUGAAUUGGCAUCGGUUUAAAAUUGACAUUUAUUAUUACCUCUUCUCAUAUAUAUUGCUUAUUAACAUGACCUAUGAUUUUAUGUUUUACUUAUCAAGGAUGCUUAUGGUUCAUAGUACUGGAAAUACUUCUCUUGAUCUUUUCAGUUAAAGUAUAUUGCAUCCCACUGCACUUAAAUCUCUCUGCCAACUUAUUUCUAAUAUACCUCAUUCCCCUUAGCUUGCUGACUAUUCUCUCACGUGAUAAAUAACUCUGCCUUAUCAAGGUCAGUCAGAAAGGCCCCUUUUACAUAUCUCAUAAAUUUUAGCCAGGUGCCACUGAUGUGAGAUUAAUGUAAUGGCACCAUGGCAAGCACUCAGGCUUGUCUUAAUUAUGCUAGGGUUGCCGGUUCACCGUUUCUCUUCAUCUGUCUCCUGCUUUAGGGAACACUAAACACUAUGUCAUUAGAUUGUCUGUUCCACAACAUUGGCUCUUUGCAUUUACAAAGUCAUCAGAUGGCUUAUGACAUAGCUUUUCUAAGAAAUUAAAUUAAACAAAUAGUGAAAACAAAAUUUAGGGGUAAAUGCCUGAAAAAAGAAAAGGUUUCAAAUUGUGAUCAGAGGGGAAAAAAUUCCUCUAUGUUCCGUAGUGACUUUCCUCUGACCAGUGAGUUAGUUAGUCACCUGAUCACAGGGAUAAUUUUGACUCUGGGUGAUCUCAGGUGUGAAUAAUUACAAGGUUCCUUUAUUUUUAAGAAUGAAGGGUCUUAAUGGAUGCUGUUGGCUGUGAUCCAUGUGCACAUUCUCAGAACCUUUCUUCCAACGUCCCUUCCCUUUGAGAAUGACUAGUUUCCAGGGGGAAGCCAUCUCCAAGCCAUAUGUCCAACAUGGGUGUCUAAUUACCUCAUCUAUUUUUCUAAAGUCCCCAUCUACUUUCCAAAAAGCAUGCCAGCUUAGUCUGUUGUUGAAUUUGGGAAUAAAAACAGUUCAUUGACCUGGGUCUUCAAAUUUGGGAUGAUUUAUUUUAUUUCUGUUCUUCAGAUAUUAAUAUGCUUUUUAUAAGGGAACAGAUAUCUAAAGCAGCAUCUCCCCUUACUUUCUUAAUUCAAGUAAAAAUCCUUUUUGAAUGACUAGUAUGUUUUACUGGCUUUGCUCAUCUAUGAGGAGAUAUAUGAAUAA